UCUAUCAUUGACAACCAAGACGAU
This 24-nucleotide non-coding RNA is filed under the name Arabidopsis thaliana (thale cress). Lineage: Eukaryota; Viridiplantae; Streptophyta; Magnoliopsida; Brassicales; Brassicaceae. The record is from RNAcentral.